RNAcentral lists this long non-coding RNA (796 nucleotides) under Salmo salar (Atlantic salmon). Its description in RNAcentral is "lncRNA (ENSSSAG00000103758.1)". Lineage: Eukaryota; Metazoa; Chordata; Actinopteri; Salmoniformes; Salmonidae. The record is from RNAcentral.
GCGGAACGUCUAGAUGUAAGAGGAUUUAUAUAUGAUGCUCUCUCAUUUCUAAUGGCCUUGUUAUAUAUGAUGCUCUCUCAGAAUAUCAUAAUGGACCUGCAACUUUGACUUCAUCCAAUUCCACUCCGUCUUUCUGCAGUUUCUCUUUAAUUUAUUAGUUUCCUCAGUCAUCCAAGGGCCUCUCCUUUUUCAACUUUACUGGAUCUAUGGCAUCAAUGUUUUCCCUUCAUUUACAAUGUUUUUAUUUAACUAACGUUGACUGGCAACAAGCUAGUAAAAAAAUCCCCAGUGGUGAUCAGAGAAAGCAACAUCAACAAUAGAGGAUAUGUCAAUAGAAAGCCCCUUGGUAAUAACCAGGUCCAGAGUAUGGCUGUGGUUAUCGGUGGGCCCAGUAGAAAGCCCCUUGGUAAUAACCAGGUCUAUAGUAUGGCUGGGGUUAUGGGUGGGCCCAGUAGAAAGCCCCUUGGUAAUAACCAGGUCCAGAGUAUGGCUGUGGUUAUGGGUGGGCCCAGGAGAAAGCCCCUUGGUAAUAACCAGGUCCAGAGUAUGGCUCUGGUUAUGGGUGGGCCCAGUAGAAACACCCUUGGUUAUAACCAGGUCCAGAGCAUGGCUGUGGUUAUGGGUGGGCCCAGUAGAAAGCCCCUUGGUAAUAACCAGGUCCAGAGUAUGGCUGUGGUUAUGGGUGGGCCCAGUAGAAAGCCCCUUGGUAAUAACCAGGUCCAGAGUAUGGCUGUGGUUAUGGGUGGGUCCAGUAGAAAGCCCCUUGGUAAUAAACAGGUCUAUUUUAUGGCUGUGG